This 500-nucleotide ribosomal RNA is filed under the name uncultured bacterium. RNAcentral's name for it is "partial 16S ribosomal RNA". It matches the Rfam family "Bacterial small subunit ribosomal RNA", at positions 30 to 523 of the family's 1533-position model. The record is from RNAcentral.
AUUGAACGCUGGCGGCAUGCUUUACACAUGCAAGUCGAACGGUAACAGGGUGCUUGCACCGCUGACGAGUGGCGAACGGGUGAGUAAUGCGUCGGAACGUGCCGAGUAGUGGGGGAUAACGCAGCGAAAGUUGUGCUAAUACCGCAUACGUACUGAGGUAGAAAGUGGGGGACCUUCGGGCCUCACGCUAUUCGAGCGGCCGACGUCUGAUUAGCUAGUAGGUGAGGUAAAGGCUCACCUAGGCGACGAUCAGUAGCGGGUCUGAGAGGAUGGUCCGACACACUGGGACUGAGACACGGGCCAGACUCCUACGGGAGGCAGCAGUGGGGAAGUUUGGACAAUGGGCGAAAGCCUGAUCCAGCCAUGCCGCGUGUCUGAAGAAGGCCUUCGGGUUGUAAAGGACUUUUGUCAGGGAGGAAAUCCCUAGUGCUAAUAACACUGGGGGAUGACAGUACCUGAAGAAUAAGCACCGGCUAGCUACGUGCCAGCAGCCGCAGUAA